AUGGUGCCAAGAACGAAGAAGGAAGCUCCUGCCCCUCCUAAAGCCGAAGCCAAAGCGAAGGCUUUGCAAGGCCAAGAAGGCAGUGUUGAAAGAUGUCCACAGCCACAAAAAAAACAAGAUCCACAUGUCACCCACCUUCCGGCGGCCCAAGACACUGUGACUCCGGAGGCAGCCCAAAUAUCCUUGGAAGAGCACCCCCAGGAGAAAUAAGCUUGACCACCAUGUUAUCAUCAAGUUUCCGCUGACCACUGAGUAGGCUGUGAAGAAGAUAGAAAACAACAGCCUACUUGUGUUCACUGUGGAUGUUAAAGCCAACAAGCACCAGAUCAAACAGGCUGUGAAGAAGUUUGUGACAUUGAUGUGGCCAAAGUCAACACUCUGAUUCAGUCUGAUGGAGAGAGGAAGGCAUAUGUUCGACUGGCUCCUGACUACGAUGCUUUGGUUGUUGCCACCAAAAUUGGGAUCACCUAA
Molecule: long non-coding RNA, 471 nt
Filed under: Homo sapiens (human)
Lineage: Eukaryota; Metazoa; Chordata; Mammalia; Primates; Hominidae
Description: non-protein coding HLA-F-AS1:10
Source: RNAcentral